This 329-nucleotide ribosomal RNA is filed under the name uncultured bacterium. RNAcentral's name for it is "bacterial SSU rRNA". It matches the Rfam family "Bacterial small subunit ribosomal RNA", at positions 29 to 333 of the family's 1533-position model. The record is from RNAcentral.
AGCGAACGUUAGCGGCAGGCUUAACACAUGCAAGUCGAGCGAGAAAGGGACUUCGGUCCUGAGUAGAGCGGCGGACGGGUGCGUAACACGUGGAUAAUCUACCCUUUGGCGGGGGAUAACAGUUCGAAAGAACUGCUAAUACCGCAUAAGUUGUUCGGGGUCGUCCGGUCCCGGGCCGAGGAAAGGAAGGGCGGCUCGCAAGAGGCUCUCACCGAAGGAGGAGUCCGCGGCCCACUCAGCUAGUUGGCGAGGUAAUGGCUCACCAAGGCUUAGACGGGUAGGCUGGUCUGAGAGGAUGAUUAGCCACACUGGGACUGAGACACGGCCCA